RNAcentral lists this ribosomal RNA (468 nucleotides) under uncultured bacterium. Its description in RNAcentral is "partial 16S ribosomal RNA". It matches the Rfam family "Bacterial small subunit ribosomal RNA", at positions 28 to 507 of the family's 1533-position model. The record is from RNAcentral.
GACGAACGCUGGCGGCGUGCCUAACACAUGCAAGUCGAACGGAAAGGCCCUGCUUUUGUGGGGUGCUCGAGUGGCGAACGGGUGAGUAACACGUGAGUAACCUGCCCUUGACUUUGGGAUAACUUCAGGAAACUGGGGCUAAUACCGGAUAGGAGCUCCUGCUGCAUGGUGGGGGUUGGAAAGUUUCGGCGGUUGGGGAUGGACUCGCGGCUUAUCAGCUUGUUGGUGGGGUAGUGGCUUACCAAGGCUUUGACGGGUAGCCGGCCUGAGAGGGUGACCGGCCACAUUGGGACUGAGAUACGGCCCAGACUCCUACGGGAGGCAGCAGUGGGGAAUAUUGCACAAUGGGCGGAAGCCUGAUGCAGCAACGCCGCGUGCGGGAUGACGGCCUUCGGGUUGUAAACCGCUUUCGCCUGUGACGAAGCGUGAGUGACGGCAAUGGGUAAAGAAGCACCGGCUAACUACGUG